UACGGGAGGCAGCAGUGGGGAAUAUUGCACAAUGGGCGCAAGCCUGAUGCAGCCAUGCCGCGUGUAUGAAGAAGGCCUUCGGGUUGUAAAGUACUUUCAGUCGUGAGGAAGGUGUUAAGGUUAAUAACCUUAGCAAUUGACGUUAGCGACAGAAGAAGCACCGGCUAACUCCGUGCCAGCAGCCGCGGUAAUACGGAGGGUGCGAGCGUUAAUCGGAAUUACUGGGCGUAAAGGGCACGCAGGCGGUUAAUUAAGUUGGAUGUGAAAUCCCCGGGCUUAACCUGGGAAUGGCAUUCAAGACUGGUUAGCUAGAGUCUUGUAGAGGGGGUAGAAUUCCAUGUGUAGCGGUGAAAUGCGUAGAGAUGUGGAGGAUACCGGUGGCGAAGGCGGCCCCUGGACAAAGGCUGACGCUCAUGUGCGAAAGCGUGGGGAGCAAAC
RNAcentral lists this ribosomal RNA (438 nucleotides) under uncultured bacterium. Its description in RNAcentral is "bacterial SSU rRNA". It matches the Rfam family "Bacterial small subunit ribosomal RNA", at positions 340 to 773 of the family's 1533-position model. The record is from RNAcentral.